CGUGUCACUUGAGAUAUAAUGUGCAGCUUCUUGCUAUUCUUACUGGCAAUGUGUUUUAGAACAGAUAAUCAUCACCGUUCUUAGAAUUACUAAAUCCCUUUGCUAUAGGGAAAGAGCCUAUUUUAAAAUACUUAGAGCCACAAACUUCACAGUGGAUGAGUAAAUGUUUGGUUUUCUGCUCUGUGCAUAUGCUUAACCCUCCUCCUAGUAGUUCCACUGAUGGAGCUAUGAACUUCGGCCAUUUAAUUUCCUAGGGUAACAUUGCUGCUGGUUACUGGAAGGUUCUGUUGUGCUUCACUAGGCCUUCAGCUAACACAUGGAUAGAUAUCUGAAUCCAAAAAAUUCACCGUUAGUGAUCAGAUUGGAUGAACUGAUGAAAGCCCACCCUAGAAAUUUCAGAUAGCCUGCACAUUAGCUGUGACACGUAAAACUUUCAUAUGGCAUGCUCUUUUCCCAAUCUUCAGUAACUAAUGAAAAAAAAAUCACUUGUGUGAAAGUACUCAAUUUCAGUAGAAAUAGGAAUAAAAAUGUUGAUCUUCUUUUCCACAAUAAUACUUUUUUAUUGUUUCCUAACUUCCCUACAAAGUUUUUGUAUAGAUGCAUGUUAUAGUCUGAGGACAUGCGUGUGCUGUCUGGGGUAUACAGAAGUUGCACUGCUAGCAGUAGCAAGAAGCUCAGUUAACAAUUUGGGUAUUUACCCAGUUUCUUGGACAGAGCUUGCAGCCUGCACUGAGUUCCAUACUAUAAAAGCUACAUAUUUAAUAAGAAUCAAAGUGGGUUAAAGGUAUGGUUCCCAAACUGGGGUCCCUGAAUUCGUAGUCGGUGUUUUAUAAAAGCGUUUUGUCAUUACAGCAUUUCCAGUUGCACAUAUGAGGAGACAGAUUGAUGUGCAAUACAAAUUACCAACACAACUGUAACCUGUUUUGCCCCUCCUUCCUUUAGUGUAAGACACAUACUACAAUCCAGUGUAAGCGUGUUAGUCUGUUUUUAAAUCUCCUUUGUAUUCUGUAAUCUCCUCCAGCCAGAUAAUUACUUUCCUGAGUGAAAGUUGCAACAUACUAAUAUCAUGAGAUAAGUGAAAUCAAUGUAAAUUAAGAACUAGUCUGAACUGAAUGUAGUUGUCCAAAAUGUUUUUUCCUUCUCUCAUGAACUGUAAUUAUUCUAGCAUGAUGGUGCUGAUCUGAUCUGAAAUUCCACAUUUUGCAGCUCUCCACUGACCUUUGUGACCCUUUUUUGACCAAGAAACAAGGCAACUUCUCCACACACACCUACCGCUGUGGCAGGUGUUUUUGUACAGGUAGAUGACAAGACUAUGACUCCUCCCACCUCCACGAUGUGUUUGAAGAGAUGUUUCUCCAUAUUCCCUGCAGGAAUGCUCUGAACAUUGCCUUACUCCUAAUCUAGUCUUGCCUGAGGUAAAAGCUCAAGGUCUUCUCCCUAACAGGAAGUAGUAUCAUACUGCAAACAGUGUUUUAUGUACUCCAGCCUUAUACUACACUUUCAUAUUUUAGGGGCUUGGCUGGGAAAGAAAUUGAACAGCUGGACGUUUUUCUGUCUUGCAUUUCCUAGAUUCAGUGACUGACAAAUCAAUUUCAAAUCUGCCUUGAUGAUCAGAAGUGCAGAUCUUUUAAAAACUUGAGUUUUGGAUCCAGGCUCUGACACUAUUCAAAUCCUCAGCUAACAGCAGGGUGCUCAGAGAAUUCAGCCAGCAGCAUGCUCCAGUUUAGAAUUUCCUGCAAGUUCAUGGCUGAGUUUCGUGAAGACUGCUCUGCCACUGACAUCUUCUCCUGGCAAUGUAACAGAAAAUUGAAUAAUUUUACGGUCAGGUGUUACAGGCUCUAUAAUGCCAUACAUAAGGUAGUCACAUUGUGUUCUAGCUUUGGAAAGUGCUAUUACCUGCUUCACAGAAAAUGGUUGUGAACGUUGCUCAGUACUCAGAGAGGGCUGAGGCCUCUGCAACUGAUUCCUUUGAAAAAGUUGGCCUACAAGGCAUCAGACCUCUUGCUGUAGGUCUAGGCUCACAAAACCCAGCCAUUUCAAGUCUCCCUUUCUACAGUCUGCUUGGCAAAGUGGGAGGAGUUUAUCCCAUGCGAACUGAAAGAAUUUUGGCAGUCUCACCUUCUGGCGACCAGUACAGCUACGAGGGCCGCCCCGUCAUUUCCUGCCAGGCUGCCCUGACUUGGUGAAGGCGCAUGAGGGUGCACAGCAUCGGCGGCUGGGACAUGGCUCUGGCUGUGCUCGCUGGGAACUGGGAACUACUGCCACAAGAGCAACAAGCUCAGCUGAACAAACUUUGCAUCGGUGGGUGGGCUUGGCCAGCCAGCACCUGGGGGUGUGGUGCUGUGGCUAUCUCAUUUGGCUUAGUUUGUAAGAGAAAAAUACAGCGUAGUGACUUUGCUAGCAAGUCACUUUGAAAGUAUUCUUUCCUGAAGCAGCAUGUCAUUGGUUUUGAGCUCACUGAAGCCCUUUCUUCUUAGACAACACCAUGGAUGUCUGUAAAGAAUUGCAUAUGGACAAGAGCAAGCAUUCGUAUGAGUCUUACUAAUUGAGUUGCUCGAGGUGCUGCUGGUUAUACAAAGACAUGCAAACAUCAACCUUACAAAACUCAUCAUAACUUGCCUGCCAGUUGUAGGGCGUGCAAGAAUGUUGGAAUCCCGCUGAGCAUGGUUGCUUUUCUUUGGAGUGGUUGUGCUUUGGGUGGUUUGCCUUUUCUCAACAGGAGACCAGAAGUCUACUGAUUCACUGUUCCUUUUAGCUAGAGGAAAAGGAUGCUGCCCGAGAAGAGCUGGGAAGAAUGACGGAAAGGCGCCUCCCCAGGUGCUGAUCAAUUAGAAGUAACAUUGCUCACAGCAGCAGUGCAGCCACACUUCAGUAAUCAUCCAGUUCCAAGGACUGAUGGAGUAAAGAUAUGUUGCCAAAACAUGCAUCUGUCUGAGCAUGCAGGAGAAAUUUUAGAAGGCACUGCAAGACUGCAGCACCUACAUGCAAGCUCAUCUGCAGAGGACUCUGUGCAGCAGUGACACCCCGGUCAGGCAGAAGUGGCUCACCAGCCAAGAUCCCCAGCUGGCCAGAGCAAACGCCUGUGGUCAAAACGUCGGAUGCAGCCUCCGAGGAAAGGGGACCACAUUGAUUCACUAAAACUUCAGGAAAAAAAAUAAAAGUCUUCUAGGAAAGAAAGGGCACAAUCUGCACAGCACCAACCCUCAACAACACAUCACACUGCAAUCAUUGGGGAAUGUCAUAGCUGUGUAAAAAGUUAAGCUAUAACUUGUUACUUUUAUUGGGCUGUUUACCCCUUAAUUUCUUACCCAUUGUACAAUCAGGAGGCGGAGGUAGCCCAACCAAGUACGGAAAAAUUGCCUUGUUAUCUAAACUUGGAGCAGUUCUGCUUACCUUUUAUCAUUUCACUGAUGCAAUCAGGAUAUUUGCAAAUAUUGGAAACUGAAGAAAAUUGCAACGAUGGGGAACAAUAAUUAUGAACACUAUGAAGUUAAGAGAUUCUGCAGAAUGAGGAACGUACACGAUGUAGUUACUUAAAAUACUCAAUGAUUUGAAUUAUAAAUAAAUCCAAGGAGAAUUUAGCCAACGUGGAGACUACACUUUAUCUGAAAGCAAGAAGAUAUUAAUUUUUUGGGGGGGAGGAAGGGGAGGAAUAGAGAAGUGGUGGGAAGAAAACAUGAUAAAGUUCUGAAAUAUCUUGAUUACCUGCAUCUAAAGUAAAAAUACUAGUCUAGGGACUAAAGGGAGGGAAGUACAUAGUUUCACACCUUGGUAUGCCAGCCUGACAAAU
Long non-coding RNA from Cygnus olor (mute swan), 3790 nucleotides. RefSeq lists it as uncharacterized. The transcript has 5 exons. NCBI's taxonomy places the organism in Eukaryota, Metazoa, Chordata, Aves, Anseriformes, Anatidae. The record is from RefSeq and is a predicted model, not a curated record.